Molecule: long non-coding RNA, 553 nt
Organism: Engraulis encrasicolus (European anchovy)
Lineage: Eukaryota; Metazoa; Chordata; Actinopteri; Clupeiformes; Engraulidae
Exons: 3
Source: RefSeq, a predicted model, not a curated record
UUUAUUUCCUCAUUUUAGUAAGACCAUCAGGCCUUUUUGUAACCUUUGUCACAAGUCUUAAGUUACAAGUAUUUUGUAGGUAUGUGUUUUGUGCCCUGUUUCAAGUUAAGUGCCAAGUUCAAGAGGAUCAUGACAGUUGGUUUGCUGUUGAAUUUCUUCUCAGAGCUGGAUGGUCUUUCAACAACACUGCUCCGGGUCUUCAGCAAGAAAGGUGCUUCUCAUGCAAGGAAGAUACAGAGGAUCCUGGUGCCCAUGACUCAGACUGACAACAUUGAUGUGAAGAGGGAGUGCAUGCUGAGGAGCUGACGGUCUACCUGAAUGAAGAGCCAGACAAAGUGGAUGUUGAUCUGGACGGUCCAGCUGAAACGUAUUGUCUUCGUGUGCGUGUGAUCGGCAGAGAGUCCUCAACGACAUUGGUAACGUACCUGUGGCCAUUGCAGUGUUUGUUUUGGUUUAUGCUCUUAAUCUCUGUUACCUUCCAGAAUGGAAGUACACUUUCAAAUUUCUGUUUCAUUCUAACCGUCUGUUUCAUCAGUUUUUGCACUGCUUUUAA